UGGGGAAUCUUGCGCAAUGCGCGAAAGCGUGACGCAGCAACGCCGCGUGAGGGAAGACGGCCUUCGGGUUGUAAACCUCUUUCAGGGGGGACGAAGGUUCGGCGGUUAAUAGCCGUUCGGACUGACGGUACCCCCAGAAGCAGCCCCGGCUAACUACGUGCCAGCAGCCGCGGUAAUACGUAGGGGGCAAGCGUUGUCCGGAAUCAUUGGGCGUAAAGGGCGCGUAGGCGGCCCAGUAAGUCCGUUGUAAAAGUCAAAGGCUCAACCUUUGAAUGCCGAUGGAUACUGCUGGGCUAGAGUCCGGAAGAGGCGAGUGGAAUUCCUGGUGUAGCGGUGGAAUGCGCAGAUAUCAGGAGGAACACCAAUAGCGAAGGCAGCUCGCUGGGACGGUACUGACGCUGAGGCGCGAAAGCGUGGGGAGCAAACAG
RNAcentral lists this ribosomal RNA (428 nucleotides) under uncultured bacterium. Its description in RNAcentral is "bacterial SSU rRNA". It matches the Rfam family "Bacterial small subunit ribosomal RNA", at positions 355 to 775 of the family's 1533-position model. The record is from RNAcentral.